UCAUUCUCUACCCAGCCGUCCUCUGACUUUUUUCACAGGAUAGCAUCCUGGGCUGAGCCGCCUUUCAACAAGGAUGAAGAACUGAGCCGUUCGCCCAGCUGCAGGUGAGUGGGCUCAUGGCUUCGUCGUCACUGCAGAGAGCACCGAGGAUCAUUCAGGAAGUGGAAAGUGAAAUCAGAAGAAAGCAAAAACCCAGCAGAGCGGGAGAGUCAAGCUGCGGGCUAGGCAGAGCCGAGGGCCUGUUAGCCUCGUGAAGUGAUUGACUGAACAUUCCAAACCCGAUGGAUUACAUGCCUGCCCUGGGCACAGCUUCCAGGGAGGGAUCCAGCUCUGUUGAAAUGUCUUACAGAAAAGUUGGGAGAAAGAUUGAAGGACCUGAAGAGGACAGGGAGACUCCACAGGAAGAUCAACAGAAUCAACUAACCUGGACUCCUGGACGCUCCCAGAGACUGAAUCACCAACCAAAGAGCAAGCACCAGCUGGACCUAGGCCCCUGCACAUAUAUAGCAGAUGUGCAGCUUGAUCUUCAUGUGAGUCCCCCAAAUAAUUGGAACAGGGGCUGUCCCUGAGCCUGUUGUCUACCUGCCCGUCUGUGGUUCCCACACCCCUAAAUGGACAGCCGUGUCUGGCCUCAGUGGGAGAGGAUGUGCCUAGUCCUGCAGCAACUUGAUAUGCAGGGUAGAGGGUGGGAUUGGGAUAAGAUGGGGAUGGGGGGGUGUGGCACCCAGAAGGGAGGCUUACCCUUCUAAGGAGAGUGGGAAAGGACUUUCAUGAAGCGGUACUUGGAGGAAAGGAAGGACUGAUAUUGAGUUGUAAAGUCAAUACAUAAUAAUAAAAUAGAA
Apodemus sylvaticus (European woodmouse) is the source of this 842-nucleotide long non-coding RNA. RefSeq lists it as uncharacterized. The record is from RefSeq and is a predicted model, not a curated record. The transcript has 3 exons. Lineage: Eukaryota; Metazoa; Chordata; Mammalia; Rodentia; Muridae.